GGGGCUGAUUUUGGAUUCGACAAAAUUUUCGAAUACUACUAGUGCAUGCCGAGGGUUCGGUUGCCUCGUUAAAAACCGAAAAUUAUUAAAUGCAGAAAAAAAACAAUACGCUUUAGCAGCUUAAUAAACUAAUAAAGCCCUUUAUUUAUUCUUAUUUUAUCUUUUAUAAGAAUAAAAUUUUCAAAAGGACCGAUAAAAAGAAACCCAUAAUAAGAUAAUUCUCAAAUCUUAUAUGAAAAUAAAAAAAAAUGAGAUAGGUAUGUAAAAACAUUUUUCUUUGUGUUAAAAUACCAAAAAUUUCAAAGAAUAAGCAUGUAGUACUAUAGUUGUAGAUAUUUUGGACGCGGGUUCAAAUCCCGCCAGCUCCAAUA
RNAcentral lists this transfer-messenger RNA (371 nucleotides) under Enterobacteriaceae (enterobacteria). RNAcentral describes it as "Buchnera aphidicola_AF Standard tmRNA". It matches the Rfam family "transfer-messenger RNA". From Rfam's summary of the family: Bacterial tmRNA, also known as 10Sa RNA or SsrA, is named for its dual tRNA and mRNA-like properties. Its role is to liberate the mRNA from a stalled ribosome. The record is from RNAcentral. Lineage: Bacteria; Pseudomonadati; Pseudomonadota; Gammaproteobacteria; Enterobacterales. RNAcentral also lists the same sequence under 1 other name.